Molecule: non-coding RNA, 246 nt
Organism: Vicia faba (fava bean)
Lineage: Eukaryota; Viridiplantae; Streptophyta; Magnoliopsida; Fabales; Fabaceae
Source: the annotation of a GenBank genome assembly
AUGAUAACCAAUUUAAAACAUGAGCACAAAGGAACUGGUAUCAACCAGUCCAUGUACUUCUUACUUGCACUAGCUGCACAGAAUUCUGACAUGGUAUCAGUAAAAGCUCCCUUCCAUCUUGAGGCCACUGAUCCUUCCACACCUGGGCAGCAGAUUGCGCCUUCCUCCCCAACGCGCAAACACGUGUUUUCCGCCUUCUCUGAAAAGCUUGAUUCGGAGAACUAUCUCUAUGGUGCCAACAGGUAG